ACUUUAUUUUCAUUGUAUAGCCUACAAGUACAAAGACAACGAAAUGCAGUUUGUGUCUAACCAGAAGUGCAAAAGAUUAGAAAAGUGCAAUGAA
Molecule: long non-coding RNA, 94 nt
Organism: Alosa sapidissima (American shad)
Lineage: Eukaryota; Metazoa; Chordata; Actinopteri; Clupeiformes; Clupeidae
Exons: 3
Source: RefSeq, a predicted model, not a curated record